Pteropus vampyrus (large flying fox) is the source of this 72-nucleotide small nucleolar RNA. Its record names the gene SNORD18. It matches the Rfam family "Small nucleolar RNA SNORD18". From Rfam's summary of the family: U18 is a member of the C/D class of snoRNA which contain the C (UGAUGA) and D (CUGA) box motifs. It is encoded in introns of ribosomal protein L1 in Xenopus and human, and in introns of elongation factor 1 beta in yeast. The record is from Ensembl. Lineage: Eukaryota; Metazoa; Chordata; Mammalia; Chiroptera; Pteropodidae.
CAGCAGUGAUGAAAUUCUACUCCAUUGGUCCGUGUUUCUGAAUCAGAUGAUUUUCCUGGACGUUCUGAUGCU